This 228-nucleotide ribosomal RNA is filed under the name uncultured bacterium. RNAcentral describes it as "partial 16S ribosomal RNA". It matches the Rfam family "Bacterial small subunit ribosomal RNA", at positions 524 to 751 of the family's 1533-position model. The record is from RNAcentral.
UACGUAGGAUCCAAGCGUUGUCCGGAUUUACUGGGUGUAAAGGGUGCGCAGGCGGACUUGUUAGUCAGAGGUGAAAUCUCACUGCUCAACAGUGAAACUGCCUUUGAUACUGCAGGUCUUGAAUCCAGAAGAGAGUUGUGGAAUUCCGAGUGUAGCAGUGAAAUGUGUAGAUAUUCGGAAGAACACCAGCGGCGAAGGCAGCAACUUGGUCUGGUAUUGACGCUCAGG